AUUGAACGCUGGCGGUAUGCUUAACACAUGCAAGUCGAACGGGCAGCAUGGUGUAGCUUGCUACACUGAUGGCGAGUGGCGAACGGGUGAGUAACGCGUAGGAAUAUACCUUGAAGCGGGGGAUAACUUGGGGAAACUCAAGCUAAUACCGCAUAAUGUCUUAGGACAAAAGCUGGGGACCUUCGGGCCUGGCACUUCAAGAUUAGGCCCUGCGUCCGAUUAGCUAGUUGGUAGGGUAAGAGCCUACCAAGGCGACGAUCAGUAGCGGGUCUGAGAGGAUGAUCCGUCACACUGGAACUGAGACACGGUCCAGACUCCUACGGGUGGCAG
Molecule: ribosomal RNA, 330 nt
Filed under: uncultured Pseudomonadota bacterium
Lineage: Bacteria; Pseudomonadati; Pseudomonadota
Description: bacterial SSU rRNA
Rfam family: Bacterial small subunit ribosomal RNA
Source: RNAcentral